AAGCCAGCCAUUAACUCUGCUUACCUUGAAUGGGUUUCUGCAGAGAUGGAGAAGGAGCUGGCAAUAGCAAAGCCAUGUUACGAGCCUUGAUGAUAUGCAGGUCAUUAAGGUCCCUGAAGAUGGCUACAGCU
This 131-nucleotide small nucleolar RNA is filed under the name Procavia capensis (Cape rock hyrax). Its description in RNAcentral is "Small nucleolar RNA SNORA33 (ENSPCAG00000019792.1)". It matches the Rfam family "Small nucleolar RNA SNORA33". Rfam says of the family: ACA33 is a member of the H/ACA class of snoRNA that guide the sites of modification of uridines to pseudouridines. The record is from RNAcentral. Lineage: Eukaryota; Metazoa; Chordata; Mammalia; Hyracoidea; Procaviidae.